UGGGGAAUUUUGGACAAUGGGGGAAACCCUGAUCCAGCCAUCCCGCGUGUGCGAUGAAGGCCUUCGGGUUGUAAAGCACUUUUGGCAGGAAAGAAACGUCAUGGGUUAAUACCCCGUGAAACUGAUGGUACCUGCAGAAUAAGCACCGGCUAACUACGUGCCAGCAGCCGCGGUAAUACGUAGGGUGCAAGCGUUAAUCGGAAUUACUGGGCGUAAAGCGUGCGCAGGCGGUUCGGAAAGAAAGAUGUGAAAUCCCAGAGCUCAACUUUGGAACUGCAUUUCUAUCUACCGGGCUAGAGUGUGUCGGAGGGAGGUGGAAUUCCGCGUGUAGCAGUGAAAUGCGUAGUUAUGCGGAGGAACACAGAUGGCGAAGGCAGCCUCAUGGAAUAACACUGACGCUCAUGCACGAAAGCGUGGGGAGCAAACAGG
This 429-nucleotide ribosomal RNA is filed under the name Acidobacteriota bacterium. RNAcentral describes it as "Acidobacteria bacterium partial 16S ribosomal RNA". It matches the Rfam family "Bacterial small subunit ribosomal RNA", at positions 355 to 776 of the family's 1533-position model. The record is from RNAcentral. Lineage: Bacteria; Pseudomonadati; Acidobacteriota.